This 525-nucleotide ribosomal RNA is filed under the name uncultured bacterium. RNAcentral describes it as "partial 16S ribosomal RNA". It matches the Rfam family "Bacterial small subunit ribosomal RNA", at positions 28 to 523 of the family's 1533-position model. The record is from RNAcentral.
GACGAACGCUGGCGGCGUGCCUGAUACAUGCAAGUCGAACGAAGCUGUUUUAACUGGUGCUUGCACCGACUUAAACAACUGAGUGGCGAACGGGUGAGUAACACGUGGGUAACCUGCCCCAAAGCGGGGGAUAACAUUUGGAAACAGAUGCUAAUACCGCAUAACCACAGAAACCACAUGGUUUCUGUGUCAAAGAUGGUUUCGGCUAUCACUUUGGGAUGGACCCGCGGCGUAUUAGCUAGUUGGUAAGGUAAUGGCUUACCAAGGCAAUGAUACGUAGCCGAACUGAGAGGUUGAUCGGCCACAUUGGGACUGAGACACGGCCCAAACUCCUACGGGAGGCAGCAGUAGGGAAUCUUCCACAAUGGACGAAAGUCUGACGGAGCAACGCCGCGUGAGUGAAGAAGGUUUUCGGAUCGUAAAGCUCUGUUGUUUGAGACGAAUGUGCAGACUUUGAAUAAGGGUUUGUAAUGACGGUAUUAAACGAGAAAGCCACGGCUAACUACGUGCCAGCAGCCGCCGUAA